RNAcentral lists this ribosomal RNA (305 nucleotides) under uncultured bacterium. RNAcentral describes it as "bacterial SSU rRNA". It matches the Rfam family "Bacterial small subunit ribosomal RNA", at positions 338 to 660 of the family's 1533-position model. The record is from RNAcentral.
CCUACGGGGCGCAGCAGUGGGGGAUAUUGCACAAUGGGGGAAACCCUGAUGCAGCGACGCCGCGUGGGUGAAGAAGCGCCUCGGCGCGUAAAGCCCUGUCAGCAGGGAAGAAAAUGACGGUACCUGAAGAAGAAGCCCCGGCUAACUACGUGCCAGCAGCCGCGGUAAUACGUAAGGGGCAAGCGUUAUCCGGAUUUACUGGGUGUAAAGGGGGCGCAGACGGCGAUGCAAGCCAGGAGUGAAAGCCCGGUGCCCAACCCCGGGACUGCUCUUGGCACUGCGUGGCUAGAGUGCAGGAGGGGCAG